RNAcentral lists this non-coding RNA (788 nucleotides) under Cryptosporidium parvum. The record is from RNAcentral. Lineage: Eukaryota; Apicomplexa; Conoidasida; Eucoccidiorida; Cryptosporidiidae.
CUCAUAAAUUCAUCAAAAUCUUGUGAUACUUGCAAGACCCGUAACUCGGAAAAAAAGUCUUCGGGACUUACCUCCUCAUUCUUUUGCAUGAAAUUGGUUAGGCGUUCAAUAACAUCGACUAUCUCUGGACUUUCAAAUGUCAAGACAUCCUUCUCAAAUAUAUCUAACUCAUGGGGAGAUUUUUUGCUGCUCUUCUUACUUGCCUUUUUAGAUUUAUGUUUAGACGGUUUCUCAUUAUCAGCUGCUGUAGAGCCAUUACUAUUAUUGCAGCCCUCAGAACUGCGAUCCUUAUCUCUCUCCCUCCUUUCCUUUUUGUUUUUACUUCCCAUUGUACUUUCAACGCCACCUGGAGGGUUCUUUGAAAUAUAUGUGGUGAUUUUAUGAUUGUUAUCCAAUGCUCCAAUAUAUCCACAAGCAUUACAUUUGCAACUAACACGCUCCUUCUUAACAAUUAUGUCAAUCUCAGGCAGCUCACAAUUUGGGCAUAGGACAUACAUUUGAAUAAACUUGUCCAUUAACCGUUGGAGAUCAUUCUGUUGAUGUGCUCCGUUUACGAUGCUUUUUUCUUCCUUAUCCUCCCAUUUGCUUAAUGCACCAAGUUCGCAUCCAAAAAACUUCGUAGGGUAUGCAGGUGGUCUUUUAAGCGAUCUAGCAAUAUCUGCCAUAUUAACAAUUUUCGUUCUAAUACCAUUUCCGCGGCCUUCAAUUUUUGAUACCAAUUUAGGCAUCUUGUAACGAUAGUUAGGGUCGUCAACCGUACUUGGAAUGUUUAACAUUUUGAAAAGAGA